This 274-nucleotide ribosomal RNA is filed under the name uncultured bacterium. RNAcentral's name for it is "partial 16S ribosomal RNA". It matches the Rfam family "Bacterial small subunit ribosomal RNA", at positions 523 to 796 of the family's 1533-position model. The record is from RNAcentral.
AUACGGAGGGAGCAAGCGUUAUUCGGAAUCACUGGGCGUAAAGGACGCGUAGGCGGGUUUGUAAGUCAGGUGUGAAAUCCUACAGCUCAACUGUAGAACUGCACUUGAAACUACAGACCUAGAGUAUGGAAGGGGCAGAUGGAAUUAGUGGUGUAGGGGUAAAAUCCGUAGAUAUCACUAGGAAUACCGAAAGCGAAGGCGAUCUGCUGGGACAUUACUGACGCUGAGGCGUGAAAGCGUGAGGAGCAAACAGGAUUAGAAACCCCGGUAGUCC